CCUACGGGUGGCAGCAGUGAGGAAUAUUGGUCAAUGGACGAGAGUCUGAACCAGCCAAGUAGCGUGAAGGAUGACUGCCCUAUGGGUUGUAAACUUCUUUUAUAUGGGACUAAAAUGUUCCACGUGUGGGAUUUUGUAUGUACCAUAUGAAUAAGUAUUGGCUAACUCCGUGCCAGCAGCCGCGGUAAUACGGAGGAUCCGAGCGUUAUCCGGAUUUAUUGGGUUUAAAGGGAGCGUAGGUGGAUUGUUAAGUCAGUUGUGAAAGUUUGCGGCUCAACCGUAAAAUUGCAGUUGAAACUGGCAGUCUUGAGUACAGUAGAGGUGGGCGGAAUUCGUGGUGUAGCGGUGAAAUGCUUAGAUAUCACGAAGAACUCCGAUUGCGAAGGCAGUUCACUGGACUGCAACUGACACUGAGGCUCGAAAGUGUGGGUAUCAAACAGGAUUAGAUACCCCAGUAGUC
This 460-nucleotide ribosomal RNA is filed under the name uncultured bacterium. RNAcentral describes it as "partial 16S ribosomal RNA". It matches the Rfam family "Bacterial small subunit ribosomal RNA", at positions 338 to 795 of the family's 1533-position model. The record is from RNAcentral.